AAGGCCUGUGAAAGUAAAGACAUUUUCAGACCCUUAAUUAGGAUAUUGAGGGUAUUUUAUUUAGAGGGUUUGUUUAAUGCUUAGGAAGAAAAAUACAGCAUUGGAAGCAUAAAGGUUCUUCAAACGCAAGUGGAGACUUUUUGGGGCAUUCCAGUUUUGCUUCCCUCUCCUGCUGGGCAGGAGCAGCGUGUGCCUUGCUGAGUGCGGAUGACAAACCCCUCAGCACAACCCUGCCUUAGCUGGCACUCCCCUUCCCUAGCUAAGGGAGGUUAAACUGCUGCAGCUGGCUGGGUUGCUUUCAUUGGCUUGAGAACUGGUCGAUUGUUUUUAUUAGGCCCCGAUAAUUUCUGUAAAAGCAGCUUAAUGUGGUUAGUGCUUGUUUUGCUAAUAGAUCAGCUGAAAGGCUUGUUGUGUUCUCAUUGAUUGCUAGCGUUUUUAAUUUGUUCAGAGGCUUAAUUUGUAACCUCUUGGUUAUGUUAAUCUGUGCUUAUAUUACAGCCCGAACACUGCCAACCAAUUUCUGCUGAAGCCUCGUUACUACCCGGGGAUGUGUUUGUUCUCACUGCUUUACAUCCAGAUACCCUGGGCUGAGCUCUGCGCUGCAUCUGGAGAGGAGUCUUUGUGAGUCACCUCCUGCUUCACAACCUGGAGGAUGUUCUCAGCUGCCUGCAGCUCAUCAGGCGGGUAAGUGCUCUGCCAGCAGCUCCCCUCUGCCCACCUGCCUUUCAUUCUCCUGCUGAUGUACAUGAAAGUGUGGUGCUGUCACAGGGUGUUGUUGUGUUUUCUCUAUCUUUUUCUGCUCCCAUCUCGUGUGUGUUGCUGUCGAAUUGCUGCAGGGAAGCAGUAGCAGCACCUGCAGUGAGACUCAGGACCUCAGCAGGCUUUUCUUGCAAUUGGUUUUCCGUCUCCAUGCCAUCACCAAGGCUAAUGAGCAAACAAAGGCUUCAUUUAAGAUUAUACUCACAUGACCAUAAGACAUUCAAAAGAGACAAUGUUUAAAAAAAAGAAAAUGCUUGAAGUUUUCUCACUUGGUAAUUCUGGUUUCCCUUACAUUCCCUAGAGUAGCUGAGGUGUGCUGGCCAAGAGAUUAGGAGUUCCCUCUUUUCUAAUAG
This 1112-nucleotide long non-coding RNA is filed under the name Anas platyrhynchos platyrhynchos (common mallard). Its description in RNAcentral is "lncRNA (ENSAPLG00000028228.1)". The record is from RNAcentral. Lineage: Eukaryota; Metazoa; Chordata; Aves; Anseriformes; Anatidae.